Molecule: long non-coding RNA, 978 nt
Organism: Trachymyrmex septentrionalis
Lineage: Eukaryota; Metazoa; Arthropoda; Insecta; Hymenoptera; Formicidae
Exons: 6
Source: RefSeq, a predicted model, not a curated record
UCUGUCAUCAAUGAACAUAGAAUCGAGCACAACCAUGAUUUUGACUAGAAUAACGUUUUGAUUUUAGAUGAGGAAAAGAACUAUAAUAAAAGAUUAAUUUCACGUUUUGAACCAAAUUAGACGAAAUUCAAUUGUAAUAUUGCAAUGACUCCAAAGCGAGUUGAAACAUUCAAAAUUACGAAAUUAAAGAAGACAUCAAUGUUAUAAAGAACAAAAGUGUGUUCAUUGCAUUUUUUGGGAGAUUCAUUUAUGGUACUAAAAAGGAAAUCGAAAGUUACAGAGGACAAGAGAAGACUACGCCUUUUCCAGACUGCUAUACCAACUUUAUUUUCAACAUCAACAGAAAAGAGGACGAAUAUUAUGGUAAACAUGGAUUUUUAAAUUAUUCAUUGAGAAUUUCCACUUGUCAGUAAUCCAGGCAGAAACGAGAAUGAAGAAAUCAGCAGUGAGAUUGACGGAUAAAUCUUGCGGCACGUUACUUCUAACAACAACGAAACUGGUGGCAUUGCGGUAACAUCAAUAGUGGAUCCUAGAAGUAAUCCAUGAUUAAAUGAAUCGUACUGAGUAACUCAUACAUCACCAAGUACAUUAUGUUACAUACUCAGGACUGAGUUCAGUCACACGUUUCCUAGGAGAUUUGAGUUAUAUACGUACAACAAGAGAGCGAACACUCCAAGAAAGCACAAACAAUGCAACGCGCAUUUGAAUAAAAAUCCUAGAAGGAAUCUUGAGCUUGGAAACUACCGCUUUGUCAACACAUAGACAACGAUUUUUGAUGGAGAAUUGUGAUGCAACAUCAAUAGCAAUAGAUUUCGCAAUGCAAAUACCGUCCGAACAUCCUAGAGGCAUCGAAGCAACAAUUGCAAGAGGAAGACCAACAAUUACAAGAGAAAGAUGAAUAAUUGAAAAAGAUAUUUUAUUGAAAAGGAACAAAUGCUGCAAUUGAUUAACGAUGUUCAAGCACAAUCGGCGAUUACU